GAUGAACGCUGGCGGCGUGCCUAAUACAUGCAAGUCGAGCGAACAGACGAGGAGCUUGCUCCUCUGACGUUAGCGGCGGACGGGUGAGUAACACGUGGAUAACCUACCUAUAAGACUGGGAUAACUUCGGGAAACCGGAGCUAAUACCGGAUAAUAUAUUGAACCGCAUGGUUCAAUAGUGAAAGACGGUUUUGCUUUCACUUAUAGAUGGAUCCGCGCCGCAUUAGCUAGUUGGUAAGGUAACGGCUUACCAAGGCGACGAUGCGUAGCCGACCUGAGAGGGUGAUCGGCCACACUGGACCUGAGACACGGUCCAGACUCCUACGGGAGGCAGCAGUAGGGAAUCUUCCGCAAUGGGCGAAAGCCUGACGGAGCAACGCCGCGUGAGUGAUGAAGGUCUUCGGAUCGUAAAACUCUGUUAUUAGGGAAGAACAAAUGUGUAAGUAACUAUGCACGUCUUGACGGUACCUAAUCAGAAAGCCACGGCUAACUACGUG
RNAcentral lists this ribosomal RNA (497 nucleotides) under uncultured bacterium. RNAcentral's name for it is "partial 16S ribosomal RNA". It matches the Rfam family "Bacterial small subunit ribosomal RNA", at positions 28 to 507 of the family's 1533-position model. The record is from RNAcentral.